GCUGCAUCCAUGUUUUGGUGGAAGAUUCUGUCACGAAUCGUGAUGGAGCAGAGAUAGGACGGAUGCAAGUGCUGGAUGAACAGUUGUUUAUUAGAAAGAGAGACAGGCAGACAAAUCCAAAAUGUGAUCCAAAACGUAAUCCACAAACAUGCAAGAGGUCAGGCGAUUGGCAAACAGGCAUACACGGGGCAAGGCAGGAAUCUAGGUCGAUAAACAAUACAAGAAAUGAACUAUGACGAAGGGCUGGAAGCGGAUAAUCCAGCGUGAACUAACUCUAAACAUGGACCGUGACUAUGACUAUGACUAUGACUAUGACUAUGAUACGAGCUAAACUAACUCUAAAUAUGGACCGUGACUAUGACUAUGACUAUGACUAUGACUAUGACCUAAACUAACUCUAAACAUGGACCGUGACUAUGAAUACGCUACGAACUAAACUAACUCUAAAGUAUUAAUCUUCCGCGUUGUGUGCUGGGAGGCGCGCGGUAUAUAUGCGGAUAUGAUCAGCGUCUAAACCGCUAGCAGCUGAGAGCAAUUCAGACCCACGUGAAAUCGCAGCCAGUGACAGAACAGGUAGGAGACAUGACAGAAACAUAAACAAAACACACGUGUCCAGAUGUCAUUACAGUCAACAACGGAAAAGCAGGUGCUCGCGCAUUCGCGCUUAGAGCACGCUGCUUCAAGGGGGAAUCGUGACAAGAUGCCAGAUUUUAAUAUUCAGCUAAAGAAAAUAUACCUUCAGAAUUUGUGAAGAUGAGUCUACAUUCUGCAAUCUGGUGACAGAAAGUGGAAUAGAGGUGGACAGUAAUCGUUUGGAGUCAGAUGGUUCCUCUAGAGAUGAUCAUCAUUGCACCCAACAUUCACAGCAUGAGUCUUCAUUCUGUAAUAUGCAGGUGCCAGAUGAAACAUUUGCUGAUGACCAGUAUUGUAUACCGCAGUCACAAGUGGAAACAAGCACUCCUCAGAUAUUGAGCCAGACCUGAAACCAUCUACAGAGCUAGCCUAGAAAACCGCAUCUGAGCAAGCAACAGAACCAACCAGUACCACAUCUGUUCCCAAAGGUGUUAAGGUGGUAAAGAAAAAGAGAUGGGAGACCAGUGAAGUGAAAGCAGUUGAAAAACAUCUGUACAGGUUCAUAUAAACUUGCACAGCGCCAGGAAAAAAAACAUUGUGAGGCCUGUAUUAAAGCUGAGCCUGUUGCACUGAAAGGCAGGGAUUGGUUGUCCGUUAGGUUCUUUGUAAAAAAUAGAAUCACUGCCCUUAAAAGGAAAAUGUAACCCAGAAAAAGUCUGCAUGGUUUCAUUUGGUUUUAUUUGCACAGAUCAUUGGUAGUUUUAGUUUAUUAUUAUUAUUAUUAUUAUUAUUAUUAUUAUUAUUAUUAUUAU
Long non-coding RNA from Ictalurus punctatus (channel catfish), 1385 nucleotides. RefSeq lists it as uncharacterized. Lineage: Eukaryota; Metazoa; Chordata; Actinopteri; Siluriformes; Ictaluridae. The transcript is spliced from 6 exons. The record is from RefSeq and is a predicted model, not a curated record.